GACGAACGCUGGCGGCGUGCCUAAUACAUGCAAGUAGAACGCUGAAGAGAGGAGCUUGCUCUUCUUGGAUGAGUUGCGAACGGGUGAGUAACGCGUAGGUAACCUGCCUGGUAGCGGGGGAUAACUAUUGGAAACGAUAGCUAAUACCGCAUAAAAUUGAUUAUUGCAUGAUAAUUAAUUGAAAGAUGCAACUGCAUCACUACCAGAUGGACCUGCGUUGUAUUAGCUAGUUGGUGAGGUAACGGCUCACCAAGGCGACGAUACAUAGCCGACCUGAGAGGGUGAUCGGCCACACUGGGACUGAGACACGGCACAGACGCCUACGGGAGGCAGCAGUAGGGAAACUUCGGCAAUGGGGGGAACACUGACCGGGCAACGCCGCGUGAGUGAAGAAGGUUUUCGGAUCGUAAAGCUCUGUUGUAAGAGAAGAACGGGUGUGAGAGUGGAAAGUUCACACUGUGACGGUAUCUUACCAGAAAGGGACGGCUAACUACGUG
Molecule: ribosomal RNA, 497 nt
Filed under: uncultured bacterium
Lineage: Bacteria
Description: partial 16S ribosomal RNA
Rfam family: Bacterial small subunit ribosomal RNA
Source: RNAcentral